Molecule: ribosomal RNA, 439 nt
Filed under: uncultured bacterium
Lineage: Bacteria
Description: bacterial SSU rRNA
Rfam family: Bacterial small subunit ribosomal RNA
Source: RNAcentral
CCUACGGGGGGCAGCAGUAGGGAAUCUUCGGCAAUGGACGAAAGUCUGACCGAGCAACGCCGCGUGAGUGAAGAAGGUUUUCGGAUCGUAAAACUCUGUUGUUAGAGAAGAACAAGUGAGAGAGUAACUGUUCUCACCUUGACGGUAUCUAACCAGAAAGCCACGGCUAACUACGUGCCAGCAGCCGCGGUAAUACGUAGGUGGCAAGCGUUGUCCGGAUUUAUUGGGCGUAAAGCGAGCGCAGGCGGUUCCUUAAGUCUGAUGUGAAAGCCCCCGGCUCAACCGGGGAAGGUCAUUGGAAACUGGGGAACUUGAGUGCAGAAGAGGAGAGUGGAAUUCCAUGUGUAGCGGUGAAAUGCGUAGAUAUAUGGAGGAACACCAGUGGCGAAGGCGACUCUCUGGUCUGUAACUGACGCUGAGGCUCGAAAGCGUGGGGAGC